UGAGAAGGCACAGAACCGGGACCACCCCCACCCCUGCUGGAGAGCUCCCCUCACUUCCCAGAGGACGCAAAGAAGGCGCGCCCUAGUUAUUUUCUCAGGACCCACAAGGAGGAUUUCGCAUCAAAGGAAGAGCACGUUGUCAAGGCUUUUGCUAUCCAUUGCCAAAUUUCCUUUUAGAAAGUUGUGCAAAUCCGCAACCCUACCAGCAGCGUAUGAGAAUGCUAUAAUAAAGGAUUUUGGCCAAGAUGAUGAUUAUGACAAAAGAAAAAUAAUCAAGAAGAUAAGUGUUUGCUAAAGGCUCGGCCCACGCCAGCUGUGUAUAUUUGUUGAACUCUGUCACCAUGUUCCUUGGACCAAACGCCGAAGGUCCUUUACACUCUUAGCUGAUUUAGUACCUCUUUCAACACCCUAAAACUUUCACCCAAGUCUUAUCUGAAAGAAAGGGGGUUUCUGAUAAAUACCGUUUCCAUUCUGCAAACUCAACCCAAGUGCUUCCAUCCGUCAUCUUGCGGUGGACCACCUCUGGGGUUUUAACGAUGGGCAGUUGGUCAAAAAGGGAUGCCGGCUGCCUUGGACCUGAGAACUUCAAUGCUCAUAAGAUAUAAAAGAGAUGAUUUGGGGUGAGAAAGUCAUGUUGCGAGGUACGAAGGAAAAACCAACAACGACCCAAGAGUUUAGAGUUUCAUUCUGACCUGCUCUGAUAAUAUCACUAUGGCGAUGAGCUCCAUAAACAAUUGCAAAAUAGCGAGAUGAAAAGGAACAAGCCAGUUCCACCCAGGCGAUCUGGAGUUAUUUUAGGGAUCGAGGCAAUGUCAUCUGGGGUAAAUAUGGAAUGCAAAAUCUGUUCUUUUAAUAAUCAUCCCCUUCUUUUGUGAGGCUGAACAAAGGCCUGGCAAAUCAGUCAUUUGUGCUGAAAAAAAGCACCCACCCAGGGCUUUCAGGGCUGAGGAGAAAGUGCAGCCAAAAGGAUGGAAAUAAUGGUUAAUAACAGAUGCUGGGAUUAUUCUUCUCACACCCUUGGCCUCUGAGGCUCUGCGGAGCCUGGAGUGGAGUCCAAGGGGGUGGAACAAGGGUGAUGUUCUCGGGAAGAGCUGGCCUGGUGGAGAGGCUGGGAUGGGGACCCCAGGGACCUGAGCUUGGUUGCCUGCUCCUGACCUUGAUUCUUGGGCCAGAGGCGGUGGAGGGAAGCAUCUUCAAGGCCACAUUCUGUCUCUGGGGCAUCACCAUCUGCUGCAGAUGACAUUUGCCACUCCUAUCCUCAUGCUAUUCUCUUUGAACCCCUGACUCAGCGAGCCCCAAUCCAAAAAGCAGAACUAGCUAUUUUUUGCAUCAAGAAAAAAAUGUCAGGCAAGACACUUGCUGAAUUCUCUGCUGACCCUGAAACGCUUCCUUUUGCACUUAACCCCUUGUUCUUCCCUCAUUCUCUUUGCUCCUUUCUCAUCUAGACCGCCAAAUUGCAAGUGCCACCAUCGUCUCUGGUGAAGAUCCACAGGGAAGGGGUUGUACCGCAGCCAUGGAGGCUGGCACGAUGCCUGGGACACAGAAGCUUCUCCAUAAAUGUCAGCUUAUAGGAACUGAAUUCAAAAUCCCACGCCUACCCUAAAAUGGGCAUUUCUCCA
Microcebus murinus (gray mouse lemur) is the source of this 1619-nucleotide non-coding RNA. The record is from RefSeq and is a predicted model, not a curated record. Lineage: Eukaryota; Metazoa; Chordata; Mammalia; Primates; Cheirogaleidae.